UCCGUUAUGGUGUAGUAACUAACAUUAUUGCCUCUCAUUUGGUAAAUCCCCGUGGAUGUACACGAUAGCCCAGGGUUCGAUUCCCUGUAACGGAA
Molecule: non-coding RNA, 95 nt
Organism: Marasmius tenuissimus
Lineage: Eukaryota; Fungi; Basidiomycota; Agaricomycetes; Agaricales; Marasmiaceae
Source: the annotation of a GenBank genome assembly